GCUGCUGGCCUAUAUAUAAGAACUCGGACUGAUCAAAUUGUCAAAGUAUACAUUCUUGAUCAUGAUAUUCGAAUAAUGCAUAAAAAGGAUUAAUGAUAAUCGACAUCGCCUUUGGCUUGUUUCAUAGUUUUCUUCAUAGCAAAUGAAUGAUGCUCUGUAAUAAGUUGAUUGCAACCUUCUUAUCAGUUAUUGAACUCAAAUAUUUUUUUGCUAUAUGCUUUAGAAGUAUAUAUUUGCUAUUUCAUUGUAACUUGUGUUCUGUUUGCCCGUAAGGUUGUCUUUAGAGAAGAUGAGAUAGCAUACCAAAUUGGGGAAACCACUGAAAUACUGUCAAGAAGUUAUCUUUGUGCAACACCUCACUGUGUCCGGGUACUUUCUAUAAUUCAUUUUGUGUUUCGGGAAGAUUUUGGAAAAUUUUCACCAUACCAUGCAUAUACUGUCAUAAAACUGACUCAAACAAUGUAAAUUUGGUUUGUCUUGUAAGGUCUUAUUUUGUCCUCAAAUCCACUCUUGAUGUAGAUGUGAUAUUUGUCAUGUCAAAAUUUUUAUAAUUAGCAGGCCAAUAAUAUGUAAGAUGUUUUAUGGAGUCCUUUCUUUCUUGAAUUGAUACAUUGAAGCUUAUAUAAACCAGUCUAUCUCUAAGGUAUUGAACUUUGAUUCUUUUCAGUGGACCGGUGCUUUGACUUAAGACAGACUUGAUUUACUGUUUAGGGAGGUUGCAUAUUCUCAGGUUUAACUAUGUUUUCCAAAAUGAUAGCUUCAACAAAGUUAAGUUCAUUACAGAGUGUGUAGGCAUAAUCUAAGUUUUGCCAAUGGUUUAACUUCUAUGGGCACAAUCAUGAUACACCUAUAAAUUUCUUAUGUUCUAAAUUUUAGAUCCCGUUUCCAUUGCCAUAUUCUGUGAUAAUAUUUCUUGCUUUCUGGUAGGCGCCAAGAGGAGAGGAGGCCUCUGGUAUUGACCGAUCAACAUUUGCAUUAUUUAUGCAACCUGACUGGUAGGUUUAUUCACAAAGUUGAUUUGUAUAAUACAUAUUUUUUUAGCCUCACUUAUGCCAGUAUAAUUUUUAUGGGAGAAAACAGCAUUAUAGAUUGUAUUUUCUUUUAAAAUUCUCAUUUUUGAGACUUUCGUUUUACAGGGACGAAAAGCUUAAUUUUCCAGAGGAUGCACAUAUUCAUAAAGAGGUAUGUGUCAAAACCCUAUACCUUUAUGACGGUCUGAGAAUGUUUGGCCCGUCUUUGCUAUCUGAAAACUCUAUAGAAAUAUACUGAGGUGAUAGAAGUAGUUCAUCUGUCAUCCCCCUCCCCUCCCUCUGUUCUUCCUCCAUUAUUGAGUCCUCCCCAUUCAUUUAAAAGAAAAUGGUGUAGCUAGCUUCAUUUUUGCUAAUAAGACCUAUGAAUGUAUAUAUAUAUUUUCGAUUGGUUAUGAUCUACAAUAAUAUAACCAAUUUAGAUAUAUUACCAUAUGAAUGUAUUAUUGCUUGGAGGUCCUCAUCUACUCCUACUAAUAUUUAGAGAGAUAUCUACUACUACUCACAUUUGUAUUUAGAUAUAUUACCAUAAAAAUUGUUUUAUAACUUAGAGGUCUACAUCUACCCGUACUAAUAUUUAGAGAGAUAUCUAUUGCUAAUCACAUGUGUAAUAAGAAAAAUAUUUUGAGUCUCUAAACUCAGCUUUGUUGAGGAAAAAAGCCCACCAGUAGGUCAAGGCCUCAAUGACUAUCAAUGUAGUAUGAAUGUGUUAGGUGAAUGUGGUUGUAAUUUAACUAACCAUAUUCCUGUGACUCAUUUCAGGUGAUACCAUCAAAUGGUGCUCUUACAUUUGGAGAAUACACUGAGAGGCUACUCGACAAAUAUUACCACCUUAAAACGUAAACAAGAUGCGAUUUCUGAAUAAAAACGAGGGGUUAAUAAUAGAUAACAAUGGUAAAUAAAUAUUUCUUAUAACGGUUAGGCAAAACUCACGUAGCAGUUCAUCUGCAGCUGAUUAGCGGGAUAAGACCUAAUCCUACUGUAUAAGUUGACAAUUGUUGAACUUUUUACUUGUAUAUUAAUUGUAUUGUAAUAUAUUGUCGACGCUAUUCAUUGGUACCAAACCUGGCUCCCAUAUGCUUACCAUUUGCUACUAGAAUGUCGGCUCUGAACGUAAUCUUUCUCGCAAACUGCAACGGAUAAGAAUGAUUUAAAAACUCUGAAGAAGUAAGGAUCUCUACGUAAUUACAAAAACGUGUCAGUUUGGCGACUUUAAUACUCGCCACUAAGUUCAAGUACAGUGUUAGCAAUUCUUUUUAUUUUUUUAAUAUGGUGAGUGAGACAACGACGAGAGGAAGAUAAGUCGAAUUUGAGCAGUCGGGCAGCCAACCUAGAAGCUUGUGCCGAAAAGGAAAACGUGGUUAAAUAACGACAAGAGUGCGUUGUCAUACAUGCGAAGCUUGAUGUUGAAAGUGGUGUGGGGCUGUGGCCUGUGGGCUAUACUAUACAUUUGUUCCUUUUCGUCCUUCAGGUCUUUAUCCUUUUGAGCGAGCCCCACAAAGCUUUGACCGACAUAAAUUUAUUUUUUUAAAUGACCAAAAUAACCCGGAAUUUAUUUUGCUGAUCAAUCUUCCUUUUUUUUUAAAAGAAGCUUCUAAAUUUGAUUAGUUUAUAAUAAAAAUGAGCAGUUAAAAAUUACAAUCAACAAUAUCACGUGUAUAGAAUCCCAUAUAAUACAUAUGUUAUUGUAACUUCAAAGUGGCAAUGGGUGAGCAUAUAAAGAUUUAUGAUAUGAAAUAAUUUAAUGAUGAGAUGUGGAUUUUAUAUGAGGAAAUUUGUUUAUGUAUACCAUUAUUUUAAAAAAUUAGUAUAUUCAAAAUUAGUUUAUCCAAAAAACUAUUUAAAUUAAAUAAAAAUUACAUUGUAAUUAGUUUUUAAGCUUUUAUAAAUUUCCGAAAUCAAAAUUUGGAGGCUCACAUUUAAGAUAUCUUAAUUUUAGAAAGGCGAAAAAAAGAUAGUAAUUAAAUUCUCAACCACAAGAAAAUUGGAGGGUGAAAAAUAGGAAAUGAAGGUAUUUUAAAUGGGGAUAGUAAUGUCAAAUCGUGAAAGUGUAAGUUUCCAUGCAAUUGACAUUAAACUUCAAACAUGGGACCACGCCGUCCAUAGCCUCCCCCAUCAGGCGUCCCGUCUAUAUAACCGCCACAAACGAAAAACAGCAGCGGCAGCAGAGGCCGCUUGUAGGAAGAAGCUCUCGCUAAUCAAAUUUGCCCACGACAACAUCUUCCACCACCGCCAGCAGCAGCAUGUCCGUUCCUUACAUUUACCUGACCUCCGAAUCCCGCCGUCAUAAAAGCCACAGCAAGAAAACUGAGAUUCGAAAGCGCUGUGCGCGUAUGGUGAAGCAACAGAAGACCCGAUUCUACAUCCUCGGACGCUGCAUAUCUAUGCUCCUCUGCUGGCACGAUCACGAUAUGUCUGAUUAAUUAUUGCUCUUCUGAUCAUCAAAGAGCGAGUUGCGUGACGGACGGGGUGUUAAUAACACGUGGCGGAAUCAGAGCUCUCCAUAAAAAUUAGUUUCUUAACUUCAAGAGGGGAGGGGAGGGGAACGGAACCGACGCGUGAAAGUUUUUCUGAUCAUGUAAAUAUAGAGGGGUUGAUUUAGAUCGAUGAUGAGAUUUGAUAUAAUGGGAGUAUAAUUUAACAAUUUUGGGUGAUUUUAUCCCGUGAGAUUAAUUCAUCGGUAGUGUUAUUAUAUUAAACCAAAUAUAUAUAUAUAUUGCUGGAUUUGCAGGCCAAUCAUUAUUACCUUACAAUCUUACAUGCCACUUUCUUCAAUCCUCAUGGCUUGGGGAAAAUGGUGGCUCUUAAUUUUCUCGGGAAAAGAAUUAUUGAUUACUUGGUAAUCCAGUUUUUCUCUCUGAAAUUUGUGUAGUGGCGCGUACAACAUUAUUUGGUCUAUGUAAAAUGUAUUAUAAAUAUGUAAAAUAUUGAAUCCAAUAGAAGGAUACAAAAUUAACUCUUAUUUCUUCUUGAUUUGUGUUUUCAUUGGAUGGAUGGAUGUAACAGUGAAUUUCUAACUGCAAGAUCCAAAAUGGUUGCAAUUGGGUGCUUUCGCAGUGAAAUAAGUAACUUUGCUGCAAUCUUUAUGGCCGUUGAAUUUAGAAGCGUCACAUUAACCAAAAGAUUCAUCAAAAGUGGUGCUUAUCGCUACGCGGGUUAUAAAAUAGGAUCAGGAUUCUUUGAUGAUCUGAUCAUAUUCUGAGUAAAUAACUCAAUCACUGAUUGGUUAUUAAUAAAUAAAAAAGUAAAAGAAGUUAAAUUUUA
This 4292-nucleotide long non-coding RNA is filed under the name Citrus sinensis (sweet orange). RNAcentral's name for it is "long non-coding RNA (CSIN_LNC001797)". Lineage: Eukaryota; Viridiplantae; Streptophyta; Magnoliopsida; Sapindales; Rutaceae. The record is from RNAcentral.